Molecule: long non-coding RNA, 298 nt
Organism: Enhydra lutris kenyoni (northern sea otter)
Lineage: Eukaryota; Metazoa; Chordata; Mammalia; Carnivora; Mustelidae
Exons: 3
Source: RefSeq, a predicted model, not a curated record
AAACCUGGUUCUAGUUUGGAAAAAUGCCGUUUUGAACGCCAUGAACAAGACAUUUGCCGCCACCUGGUGGCAGCAUACUCCUCUCAGAGCCUCCCUGUUUCUAGGGGUGCCGAUGAUCUAGGGCACAGCGGGAUUCAGAGGAGCCCCUGAGCACCGGACCCCCAUCCCAGCUGGCUCGCUGGCAGCACCACAGGCCAGCCAUGCCCACAGCUUGGGCACGUGGCCCCAGCUGCCUGCCCAAGCACCGCGCGGGGCUCCUCAUCCUGCGACUCCCUACGGCGGAAGCCUGGACGGGGGA